GGGGAAUAUUGCACAAUGGGGGAAACCCUGAUGCAGCCAUGCCGCGUGUGUGAAGAAGGCCUUCGGGUUGUAAAGCACUUUCAGCGAGGAGGAAAGGUCAGUAGCUAAUAUCUGCUGGCUGUGACGUAACUCGCAGAAGAAGCACCGGCUAACUCCGUGCCAGCAGCCGCGGUAAUACGGAGGGUGCAAGCGUUAAUCGGAAUUACUGGGCGUAAAGCGCACGCAGGCGGUUGGAUAAGUUAGAUGUGAAAGCCCCGGGCUCAACCUGGGAAUUGCAUUUAAAACUGUCCAGCUAGAGUCUUGUAGAGGGGGGUAGAAUUCCAGGUGUAGCGGUGAAAUGCGUAGAGAUCUGGAGGAAUACCGGUGGCGAAGGCGGCCCCCUGGACAAAGACUGACGCUCAGGCGCGAAAGCGUGGGUAGCGAACAGGAUUAGAUACCCCUGGUAGUCCACGCCGUAAACGAUGUCUGCUAGCCGUUGGGGGGCUUGUCCCUUCAGUGGC
RNAcentral lists this ribosomal RNA (500 nucleotides) under uncultured Aeromonas sp. Its description in RNAcentral is "bacterial SSU rRNA". It matches the Rfam family "Bacterial small subunit ribosomal RNA", at positions 356 to 847 of the family's 1533-position model. Lineage: Bacteria; Pseudomonadati; Pseudomonadota; Gammaproteobacteria; Aeromonadales; Aeromonadaceae. The record is from RNAcentral.